GCCAUCAGCCCAACUUGGAAGCAAAGCUCUGCGGAGGGGGUGGGAUGCGGAUGGAGGCUGUCUCCCAACGGAGAGUGGCCGCCCGGCUGCCCAGCAGCUCCACUUCCCGCCCCAGCCCCUUCUUAAUGGGCACUGGUGUCCCCAGAGCUGAGAAACUGGGCCAAGGAAGUGCCCUGUAGCUGGAAGAUGAGCUGCCUGGGCUCCGAGGGAACAGGACCCGUUUCUGCUUCUCCAUCAGCUCCAUCGCAGGGCCAGGGCGAUGCCUGCCAGCACCUCGGAGGGAGGUUGCGUCUCCAGCCGGCACAGGUCUGGGAAAAAGGGGGACCCAGCUGGCCAACUGCCCACCCGGGAGCCUGGUCCUCCAGACUGGGCAGGAGGGGUGGGAUGGGAGGGCUGAGGGCUGCUUCAGAAUCCCCGGCUCGUGGGUGGGUGGCUUUCCUCUGAUUCUGCUUCUUCUGUGAGUCUGGACAGACAAGCCUGGAGAUCACAUCCUUUUAACUGAUAACCAGCUUUCUGGCCAGGGGCUCCAAGCCCGUGUCUGGCAGGUCAGCCUGCCCUUUCAGCGGGAUGGUCUUGCCUGGAUCUCUGCGGCCACACACGUGACAGGCACCUGCUCUGUGUGCCUGGUGUCGUCCUGAGCACCUCCCACUCAUGAGGCAGUGAGACCCAGUGGGACAUCAGGGCCUGUGUGGGAGAUGUGGAGAUCCGAGCAGGGUACGUGCUCACUGCCCAGUGAUGCUUUGUUCCUGGAGAGCGUUUGUGAUGCCGUGAGCUCAGGCUUCCCGGGACCCACGUGCUGGGUCUCAGCGGGACUAAACGUGUGAGCUGCUCGGGAGGCGCUCAGCAGAGAAGAGCCAUAUGUUCGGCACCUCCAGAGCUCAAAACGAUGCCUGGAGCCUCAGGAUGGAGACCAAGGAGGGGCCCCGGAACUGGCAUGCUGGACCCCAGGACCCUGAGCCUCCAGGACACCACAACGUGGGCCCCGCAGGGGGCCUUGGACCUCAGUGAAGGGGAUGCACUUCCGCCCAACACUCCGCAUCCCAGCUCGCCGGCUGCCCCUCCUCCAGCCUCACCUGCCCCUGGUCCUGAGCCACCAGCUGGGCUGUGCUCUUGCUUCCUUGGGGCAGGUGUGUCCAUGAUUUCUCCACCAGCCGAGCGUGAGGCCUGGUGUGUGUGAGUGAAGGAGGGAGUGAGUGAGGGAUUGGGAUGAAUGAAGUUAGAGCAGCAAGGAGGGCUCAUUCCCAUCGCUAACUUCACGGGGAACAGGAAAACACAGGUCAGAGUGCUGGGGGGAGUUCCCGGGUCUGAGGCCGACUCGCCCUGUGACCCCGGCCAUGCUCACUAGUCUGUUUCCAGCUAACUUUUUCACGAACAAAGCACUUGUUACCAGCACAGGGGCUUCCCUGGGGCCUCCAGCAUCUUGAGGAAAAGAGAAAAUCCAGGGAAGCCUGUGGGAUUCAUGCAGCAUGGGAUGGAGUGUGGAGCAACGGGAACACAGCCAGGAGCCCCUGUCUACUGAGCCCCGCUGGCCUCACACGAGUGCCGCCGCCCCCACUCAGCACGAUCACCCCAUCUCCUCGUGGGUAGGGAAGGCUAUGCGAACCGCCCAGGCCAUGCCAGGGUCCUGGGGCUGCUGGCACAGGGCACACACAGGCCCUGAACAGCAACGUGGAGGCUGGAAUCCGACAUCCCGGUGUGGGCAGGGCUUCACCUCAAGACUCCGAGGGGAGGGUCUGCUCCAGCCUCUCUCUAGCCCCUGGGCCUCAGGGGGUCCUUGGUGGGUCCAUGGCCACCCUUUCCUGUGGCUUUGCCUGUCUUCCUUCUGUAGGCGUCUGUCUCUUGGUUGAAUUUUCCCUUUUCGUCAAGACACUAGUCUUACUGGAUUAGGACCCACCCCACUGACUUUAUCUAAACUUGACCGUAUGCAAAGACCUUCCUUCCAAAUGAGUCACGUUCAAGGUGAGGGGGUUAGGACAGCAGCAUCUCUGGGGGUGGGGAGAGCCACACAAUUAAACCAUAGCAGAGGACACCUGUGCGUCUUUGGGGGUCUUCCUCUUGUGGGCUUGUGGCUUCUUGCAUGUGAAAGCUUUUCCCAACCCUGAAAAGAAGCCUCCGGAUUUCGAUGCCCUAACUUUGUAUGUUUUAUUCCCAACAUCCAGCAUUUGCAAAUUGCAGAUGACACCAACAUGCAAAGUAGAGACAUCUUACAGAGUGCAAAUAGGAAAAGGUAGGGGACCCAGAUCCAACUCUAACUAGUAAAACAUGGACAGGGCUUCAGAGGGACCACCCACAGGACAUGCAGGAUGGUGCAAGUCUGAGUUCUUAUUUCCAUCACCUGGUCCAGGACCUGUGCGUGCACCUGCCGCUGACAUAAGUCCCUCCUGGGGUCUCGUGAACUUCCGGGUACUCGGCUCUGGGACCUCGACUCCCUCUGUUACCAGAAGACGCAGGCGCCCUGGUGCUCCACUCUCUCUAGCUAAAGCCUUGGCUUCUUCUUGGAACCUGUGCUUGCCUUUCUACUGGUCCUCAGGGGGCUCCCUCUGCGUGUGGAGCUUGGGGAGCACAGUCCCCAGACAGACUCCCGAUUGGGACCCCUCCCGAGGCGAAGCUUUGCAGGAGUUUGGGGUGUCCCUGGGAGAUGCCGCAGGGCCAGCACUGCGAGAGCAGUGAUUGAGGGUCAGGGGACAAGAGUGGCCCGUGAAGGAGUCUCAACCAGGACCGCAGACAAAUUCCAGGGCUGCAGAUCUUUGCCGAGUAGGGGCCGCUGCUAGCUCAGGCCCCUCUCCCAAGCCCCUGAGGAUGCAGCAGGGAACAGUGGGGAGGGGCUUGAGCCCAUCUUUGCGCCUGAAAGUAGCAUCCACUCGACCAGAGGGUCAAACAGUCGCGGAGAGGUUUGUUCUCCAUAGAGAGAAGCUCCCUGUCCAUUUGUCAUGGUGGCCAUCAGCCAGCGAUUUCAAAUCUGAAAGUUAAAUCACAGCCAGUUGUCACAGUGGCUGUUGCCAAGGCAUUAGAGCUGCACGAUGGGAUUGUUUUAGGAAAUGGCUCAUUGGGAAAUAUAUUUUCUGCUCAGCUGAGAGUUUUGCUGCAGGGAAUACAGCGCAUGAAUUUGAAACACAAAUUCUGGGCAUUCGUGUGUAAAGUCUGACCUUUCCCUGCAACGCGGUUCACAGGUGCGUCCUGUAGCUUGGCUUCCCGUGAAGUCUCUGGAGCUCAUCCUCCCGGUGACAUUGCUAACUCCAGUGGCAGUGCUCCGUGCCAGCCUCCCACGUCAGCACCGGUCACCCGGAUACUUGCUGGAAAAUAGAAUUACAUGCUACGGUGGACACAACAAUGUUCCCCCCAAAAUGCACGUCCACUGGAAGCUGUGAUAUGAUAGAGUCUGGAAUGGGGCUCUUUGCAGAUGAAACUGGUUGUGGGUCUUGAGGUGAGACCAUCCUGGGGGAUCCAGGUAAGCUGUAAAUUCAACAAGCAUCCUGAUUAGAGACAGAAGAGAAGACAGGCAGGGGAGGCAGCCGUGUGAGGAUGGAGGCAGAGACUGGGGGGAUGUGGCCACAAGCCAAGGGACCCUGGAGCCCCCAGAAGCAGGAAGAGGCACGAAGGAUCCUCCCUGGGAGACAAGAACCUCUCUGAUCAGCUGAUGACAAACAGGUGUGUGAUAGUAACAACUUCUACUAACGGCGCCUCCCACCGUGACCCCACCUCCUCCUAGUGUGGGUCAGAGCAUUUGCAGUGAUGCAGACAGAACUGGGGACCCCGAGAGGAAAACCUCAAGCAGCCAAUUGGAUACUAUAUCAGCCACCACAUCCAAAAAGAAACUGCUGGGUUUCAACCAAGCCUACAAGAGCCAGAAGAGCAAAGCACCAAAUGGCACAGGUGCCGAGGAGCUUUCCCAGCCCUGGUCCCCUCGUGCACGGCAAUGUGAUGCUCCUGGCCAACAGCUGCCCCCUGCACCCCUGGGUGGCUGCAGAGCCAGCCUCAAGGACAGAGUCUGUGGCCUGCCCGUCCCUUCUGCCAGAGCUCUGACCCCAUGGCCAUCCUGCCCCUGACCUCUGGGGAGCCUCGGAGCCUCUGGAGUGCGGGGCGUGGAGCCGGGCUGCUCAGUGUGGGGAAGGGGUUCAGUGCCCACGUGGCAGGACACUCACCAACCCGGGCAGCGAAGGACGUGCACUGACUCUUUGUCUCUGCCCCCCCCAACCCCGGAUGGACGUGUUCACCUGUGAACUGGUUGUAACUGAUAAUGGUGCCUCCACCCCAAGCCAUCUUAGUCUGGGUGCUGGAAGAAAAUAGCGCUGACAGGGGAGGGGGCCUUAAAGAGUUCUGAAGGCUGGAAGUCCAAGAUGAGGGUCCAGCAUGGCUGGUUCUGGCGAGGACCCUCUUCCAGUUGCAGACUUGACUUCCUGUAUCUUCGAGUGAGCUCCUUGGAGGCUCCUUUAUAAGGACACUGAUCCCCUUCAUAGGGGCCCCACCCUCAUGACACAGCACCCCCCAAAGGCCCUGUCUCCUAAGGCCAUCACACUGGGCAGUAGAGUUUCCACAUAUGGAUUCUGGGGGGACACAGGCGUUCGGUUCCCCCCCCACACACACACAGUAUCAGUGUGUUUUGGGGAAGCACAGGGAACUUUGUAAGCUCUUGACCUGUGGACAAAGAUUGGCCCAGUCUCCUCCUUUCUCCCUCCCCAGCCUGGCCCAUCCCACAGAGCAGCAUUUCCAGUCCAUAAGAACCUAACGGGGGCCAAGCAUGUGAGGACACAGCACUGACUGAGCUCACAUGGAGUCAGACGCGUCUGUAUUCAGUCUCGUGUAAUCGACACCAGAACCCCAGAAGGAAAGCGUAUGAUUCUCCCUUUUAAAGUUGAGGAAACUGAGGUCCAGGGAGUUAAGUCAACUCCUCUGAGGGGGGGCGGGGCAGGUGAAGCAGCUUGACACCAAACCCGAACAAGGAAACCCCUCCCAGGAGGCGCAGGUGGCGGGUGGGUGCUGGGAGCUGACCAGGGGCUGAAGCCUUCGACUGCUUUCCUUGUCUUCCCUGCAGCAUCUCCCAGCCUCCAGGAGUUUCCCGAAGCUUGUGAGCUGCGGAGAAGUGCGUUUGGCUGACUAUGAGCUGAGAUCGUUUCGGCAGCUGGGAAGCUCCAAUCGCAUUAGACAUUUCCGGUUGGGCCCGAACCUCUGCAAAUACAAAGUGUCCCCUUGAAGAAGGACCUUGAGGGUCCCCAGCGUGAGGAGAAGCCAGGCUUUCUUGGGGUGCGGGGUGAACCCAUCUUCAUUAAAGGGUGCCGUGUUCGGAGUAAGGCCCAGAGCUUCCGGUUACUGACAGACACCUUCUCCCAUGUCUGCAUCUAAGUGAUUAUCUAACCAAAGGGGUGGCCCCGAUGCCCAGGGCACCUCCAGGGAGGCUCGGCUUUACCUUUGUAAUCGAUUAAAAGUAGAUAGCAGCCGGCCAGAGCACAGAGCAUGGGCUGCAUUUUAAGAAAACACGGUUCCAACCCUCUCUCUGCCACCUUGUUCCCUAAGCAGACUUCGGUACGACUGUAGCUUCCAAAAACGGGGUAAUUUCUGGCACAUCCUGGAGCUGUGCAGAGCUGACAUAUUAACCAGGAGCCAGUUUGGGGUCCACGUGAGGCAGGUCUCUUUCCGUCUAGGCAGGCUUGGCUUGGAGACUUGACCCCAGGACAUGCGGCAGGAAUGUCCUUCCCUCCGUCAAACCCUGCAAGGCUCAGCCUCCCAACCCCCUCCCCAAACUGACCCUGCCUUCCCACACCGGCCUGGUCAGAUUUGUCCCUGGACUUUGUGCUGAGGCCCCGCCCUCACCUCCCCAGGCUAGGCCCUGGCCCUGGCUUUGGGGAGAAAGAGAAUAUUUUGAUUCACAAAGUCUGUUCUUUGCUUUUUGGAAAAAUGAGAACACAAGAUCUGUAUGAGAAUCUGACAGUGUGCCCCUGGGAAGCAGAGGCUUCCUGUUUCCUCAAUGAUCUCAAUGACCUUGAGAGCCGACUGGGGUCUGCCUGCGAUAGAUGAGUGUGAGCUCUCUGGCGUCCUCCUCUUAGCUGACUCCAGGCUGGCCAGGUAGGAGGUGGCAUUUCUUAAGUCACAACCCGCAAAACUCAGUACUUCAUCCCUGCCUCUACUGCCCGGUGUUUGUCCUUUUCUUUUCUUGGGUUAGGUUUUCUGAUCGUCGCCAGGCUUGGGGAUGAAGUGUGAGUGAUAUUCCCAGCUAAUCUGGCAGCAUUGGGAGCGCCCCAGGCACUAGGUUGGUCCACUGGGGCCACUUAAAAGGAUUAAGUAUGGAGAAACCCUGUACACACUGCUCAUAAAGACACGCGGCCUCUGUGGAGGGAAAUGACCUGCUUAGUGAAGCAGCUGCGCUCGUUCGCUCACACGAGCGAAUGAAAGAUGCUGCGUGUUUCCAGGAGUUUCUUCUGCUUGGCUGCUGAGGUUCUGAACAAAGUAUGUUGCACGUGUGAUGCUAACAUUAAUGAAAAUGAACCGAGCCAGGCAGACCUCCCCUCUGUCCUCGGCCGGGGAAGCACCCUUCCCCUCUGUCCUCGGCCGGGGAAGCACCCCUCCCCUCUGUCCUCGGCCGGGGAAGCACCCCUCCCCUCUGUCCUCGGCCGGGGAAGCACCCCUCCCCUCUGUCCUCGGCCGGGGAAGCACCCCUCCCCUCUGUCCUCGGCCGGGGAAGCACCCCUCCCCUCUGUCCUCGGCCGGGGAAGCACCCCUCCCCUCUGUCCUCGGCCGGGGAAGCACCCCUCCCCUCUGUCCUCGGCCGGGGAAGCACCCCUCCCCUCUGUCCUCGGCCGGGGAAGCACCCCUCCCCUCUGUCCUCGGCCGGGGAAGCACCCCUCCCCUCUGUCCUCGGCCGGGGAAGCACCCUUAGAAGCAUGUGUGGGCGGCACGUGCGAACGUCAGGGCGGAAGUCUCCAGGCAGGGGCUCCAUCGCCAGCCCGAUGGGGAGGGCAAAGCUGCCAUGACGGUCUGCCCAUCUGUGACACGUGACAGCGCCCGCUGGCGGGACGUUUGGGGACAUCAGCAGUAGACACACGGAAGGAAGUGCUGGCCGGUCCGUGGUCAUGUUGCUGGGGAACUUCGCACCCUGGGUGACACUGCAGAGACACUGAGCCACUCGUGGACAUGGCAGAAGGAAACCCACAGAUGAGGCUUCUGGUCUACCUGCCGACCCCGUAAGGGCGUCUGUGUGGCUUCAGUCACGCGGUGCCCUCACCUGCCCGGGAGGCCUCCCUGAGUGGCCUCCUUCUUGACCCCGAGUGCUCCUGCAUCCUGGGCCUCCCUCUCACCUCCCUGUAACUAUGGGCCCUGGAUACAAGAUGUAAGGGUAACCGACCUCCCUGGGAACCAAGACUGGGGGAUGUACAUGAGGCAUCUAACUGAUACAUUCUCCAGGUGAGCGGGGUUAGUGAUGUCCUGUUCUAGUGCCAUGAGGACUGGACAUACGAAGGACACCUCCCCGCCACACACACUCCUCUGAGUGCCUGUCUACACAUCUCCAGAUACCUGGGCACAUAGACCCAGAUUCCAGAAAUGCCAGUCCUGCAGGGUGGGACCACUGUGAGGGGUGGGCGGUGAGGUAGGUCAUCACCUGGCUGCUCACAUCUUGUCCAAAGAAGGCCUUUGGGUGGAAAACCCUCUUGCUGGAGACCAGUGUGGUUUCGGUUUUGGUUUUGUCUUCUUGUUUUUGUCGUAUCCCUAACAAUUCGUGUUGCGUCCAUCCGGGAAAAUUUGUCGUCUGACCUCAUCAGGAAAGUCCUAGGCUUCCACGGGUGGGGACCCGCCUCUCCUGCUGGGCCCCUGUCCAAGGAUGCGUCUCCGUCAAAUUCUGCUUGAUCUCCUCUCAAGGGUGGGGGGAUUCCACGCCCGGACCCCAUCAUGGAUGCCCAGGAAGUGGGAGCCAUGCAGAGCCACACCGUCCCCAGGAAGAGGCAGUGAUGCGUCCCUCGGUCAAGGUCCUUACAGACAGCCUGACGUGCAGGCCUCCACCAAUCCCCCCGGUGAAGGCAGACCUGCGAGUCUCUUGAAAACGAACACUUGUUUUCCUGGGAAUUAUAAGAAAACAGCUCUAAGGUAUCAGUAGAUUCAUUUAACAUCUCAAAGCACAGAAAAGACGUUGAAUCCCAUAGAUGCAGGUGUGGGAGAUUCAGGUCAGCCAAGUCACCAGGAGAGAGAGGACGUGAAAGCUCUAAGAGGGAGAACAAAAAUCCCAGCCAGCCGCCAGCACCGUCGUUCCCUCUUUCAGUGAGAGGAGUGUGCUUUCUUCAUGGGACAUUGUGUUUUCAGGGAGUCUAGUAAUGAAAAUUUUAAAAACCCAGUGACGUUGAUCCCGGUUUUAGCUAGGAAGCCUGUUAUGAAAAUGGAUAGCACCAGCCUAAUGCACUCUAAGAUAUGGGUACCGGAGACGAUAAAUCUUGGAAAUUUGCAUGGUAUAAAAAUGUUUUAGUC
Globicephala melas (long-finned pilot whale) is the source of this 8448-nucleotide long non-coding RNA. RefSeq lists it as uncharacterized. The record is from RefSeq and is a predicted model, not a curated record. NCBI's taxonomy places the organism in Eukaryota, Metazoa, Chordata, Mammalia, Artiodactyla, Delphinidae.